GAUGAACGCUGGCGGCGUGCCUAAUACAUGCAAGUCGAGCGAACAGAUGAGGAGCUUGCUCCUCUGACGUUAGCGGCGGACGGGUGAGUAACACGUGGAUAACCUACCUAUAAGACUGGGAUAACUUCGGGAAACCGGAGCUAAUACCGGAUAAUACAUUGAACCGCAUGGUUCAAUAGUGAAAGACGGUUUUGCUGUCACUUAUAGAUGGAUCCGCGCCGCAUUAGCUAGUUGGUAAGGUAACGGCUUACCAAGGCAACGAUGCGUAGCCGACCUGAGAGGGUGAUCGGCCACACUGGAACUGAGACACGGUCCAGACUCCUACGGGAGGCAGCAGUAGGGAAUCUUCCGCAAUGGGCGAAAGCUUGACGGAGCAACGCCGCGUGAGUGAUGAAGGUCUUCGGAUCGUAAAACUCUGUUAUUAGGGAAGAACAAAUGUGUAAGUAACUAUGCACGUCUUGACGGUACCUAAUCAGAAAGCCACGGCUAACUACGUG
RNAcentral lists this ribosomal RNA (497 nucleotides) under uncultured bacterium. RNAcentral describes it as "partial 16S ribosomal RNA". It matches the Rfam family "Bacterial small subunit ribosomal RNA", at positions 28 to 507 of the family's 1533-position model. The record is from RNAcentral.